UAGGUGAUGGGGAUGAGGCCUUUUAUAUGGGCCUGUUCCCAGACUCAUUGAGUGAAAUGGCCUUGGUUCUGGAGCUGACUUGCACUGCAGGGCACCUGACCUCCAUUUCCUUCAGCUGAGGGUGCAGACUGCACCUCAGAACAUGUGCCCCUGCCCAGCUGCUCCCAGGACACAGGUGUGUUUUGGGAAGCCUUGGGCAUAUGCAAAGGGAGAUGUAUGCAACCAGGGAAGAUGAUUGGAGACUAAUAAAGAAGCAGGUGGAGAAUCUAGGCUGGGCUGAACCAGAGUAGAGGACAUGGGGAAUCCUUGCCGGACUACAAGGGGGAGGAGGUGGGAAUCCAUGGCCCAAAGCUGUGUUUUCAUUCUGAGGUCAAGGGGGUUGUAAUCAGAAAUUUGAGGUUGCCUUUCAGGCAACAGGAAGGACAGAGAUGGUUUCUAAUUAGAGCCUUUGCUCACUUUUUGGAUUAUCUCCAUCACCAAAUUUCUAAGAAUAUCUCACUGCUUUUACGGAAUUUGAUAGAAUUAAGGAUCAUGGUUUUGAAUGAAUGUUUUCUUUCACUUUUAUAGUAUUGAUUUCCCUGGCCCUGACCUGGGCCAGGUGACGUUUGUGAUCAUUUCUGCCCUUUCAGCAGUUCAAAUCACAGGAAUUUUUUUGUAAACUUACUUAUUUUAUUGUAAUACAUCAACGUCUGGUUAAUAUUAAGUGAUUCACAGGAGUUUUUCUUUUCCUGGAAGCUGAAAUGGAAAGUCAACCCUAAUAAAUUAACACACACACUCUGGCCUUACA
Long non-coding RNA from Myotis davidii, 787 nucleotides. RefSeq lists it as uncharacterized. The record is from RefSeq and is a predicted model, not a curated record. The transcript has 2 exons. Lineage: Eukaryota; Metazoa; Chordata; Mammalia; Chiroptera; Vespertilionidae.